This is a long non-coding RNA of Myxocyprinus asiaticus (Chinese sucker), 1324 nucleotides long. RefSeq lists it as uncharacterized. The record is from RefSeq and is a predicted model, not a curated record. Lineage: Eukaryota; Metazoa; Chordata; Actinopteri; Cypriniformes; Catostomidae. The transcript is spliced from 3 exons.
GUAAAAAUAACUUCCACUAGAGGGUCAAAUGUAAAUGUGGCACAAUGUACAGCGUAGAUUCAACUGAGCUCUUGGAUUUAACCUUUAAAUACUGAUCCUAAACUAUGAGAGACUGUACUCCAACUUUGGUCAUCCUCAGUAUUGAAGGUUUUCCUGGCUAUCACGUGUGAAGCAUUUCUCUUUAGGCUAUAUCUGAAAGCCAUCUCCCCUGUUUAGGGUUCUUGCUUCUGUAUUAAAACCGAGAUAUGUCUUGUUUAUUUUCUUGGUUCUUACUUCUUAACACUCCAUUUACAGAGAGUGAUGGAGCUGGAGGCUGAUGAAUCCCCACACAUUUUUGUGUAUGUUGAUGAGGCAGGAUUCAACUUGACCAAAGUCAGGAGAUGUGGCCAUAAUAUUAUUGGUCACCAAGCCACCGUUGAUGUGCCAGGCCAGCGUGGAGGGAACAUUACAAUGUGUGCUGCCAUAUGUGGGAAUGGUGUACUCAGCCACAUUCCCAUCAUUGGGCCCUAUAACACACAACGUCUCCUCAAUUUCCUGGAAAUUCUUUACAGGGAUCUCAUUCCUGAGAAUGAGAGGGGGUUGGUAAGAAAUGACUUGCCAUCAUAUGUUAUAGUUUGAGACAAUGUAAGUUUCCAUCCUUCAAAUACAGUCAGGGAAUUGUUUGUUGCCCACCCAUGUUUUGUGAUGGAGUUUCUCCCACUAUACUCCCCAUUCCUAAAUCCCAUUGAGGAGUUCUUUUCAGCAUGAAACAAUGAUGAGAAAUGUUUGAAUAAAUAUUUUGUUGAAAGUAUAGUGUGUGCCAUGACUUUUUGACAUCAAUACUAUUCAGCUGCCUACAUAUACAAUGUUAGCAAUUGGACAAUAUUACAUAGUGGGUAACUAUCACACUUUCAGAGUACACUGUCAUUUGACAAGAUAUCUUUGCAUUUUGACUGUCUUGGUCUAAGCAAUGAUAAAGGAACCUUUUGUUUUGAUGACAAUAAUUUAUUCAUUGAUGGAUUUAUUUACAUUUGAAUCAUGAGUUAAUUCUUUUGGUUGAGUAAUCACCUUUUGCAGGUCACAUAGAGUGGUGGGCUGAAUGUACCACAUGAUGUGAGGAUUGUACUUAGAGUUUUGACAAUUGUAAGUUUGUUUCAGUAAAUGUGCCAAAUCGAUUGAGAAAAAUUUUAAAUGCAGUCAAGGUAUAAUCAGGUUUUGAUUUUACUUUACCUGUAACCCAAAUCAUUUAUUUAUAUAAUAAUAGGCCUAGUGUGUACAGUGCUGUGUGGUUUAGGGCCCUCAUAGGUAUGUGGAAUUAUGUUUAAAAAAAUAUAUAUAUAUAAUA